RNAcentral lists this ribosomal RNA (520 nucleotides) under uncultured bacterium. RNAcentral describes it as "bacterial SSU rRNA". It matches the Rfam family "Bacterial small subunit ribosomal RNA", at positions 8 to 518 of the family's 1533-position model. The record is from RNAcentral.
AGAGUUUGAUUAUGGCUCAGGAUGAACGCUAGCGACAGGCUUAACACAUGCAAGUCGAGGGGCAUCACGGGAGUAGCAAUACAACUGGUGGCGACCGGCGCACGGGUGAGUAACGCGUAUGCAACCUACCUAUCAGAGGGGAAUAACCCGGCGAAAGUCGGACUGAUACCGCAUAAAACAGGGGCACCGCAUGGUGAUAUUUGUUAAAGAAAUUCGCUGAUAGAUGGGCAUGCGUUCCAUUAGGUAGUUGGUGAGGUAACGGCUCACCAAGCCGACGAUGGAUAGGGGAACUGAGAGGUUGGUCCCCCACACUGGUACUGAGACACGGACCAGACUCCUACGGGAGGCAGCAGUGAGGAAUAUUGGUCAAUGGGCGGGAGCCUGAACCAGCCAAGUCGCGUGAAAGGAAGAAGGAUCUAUGGUUCGUAAACUUCUUUUGCAGGGGAAUAAAGUGCAGGACGUGUCCUGUUUUGUAUGUACCCUGAGAAUAAGGAUCGGCUAACUCCGUGCCAGCAGCCGC